GAGUUUGAUCCUGGCUCAGGAUGAACGCUAGCUACAGGCUUAACACAUGCAAGUCGAGGGGCAGCAUGGUCUUAGCUUGCUAAGGCCGAUGGCGACCGGCGCACGGGUGAGUAACACGUAUCCAACCUGCCGUCUACUCUUGGACAGCCUUCUGAAAGGAAGAUUAAUACAAGAUGGCAUCAUGAGUCCGCAUGUUCACAUGAUUAAAGGUAUUCCGGUAGACGAUGGGGAUGCGUUCCAUUAGAUAGUAGGCGGGGUAACGGCCCACCUAGUCUUCGAUGGAUAGGGGUUCUGAGAGGAAGGUCCCCCACAUUGGAACUGAGACACGGUCCAAACUCCUACGGGAGGCAGCAGUGAGGAAUAUUGGUCAAUGGGCGAGAGCCUGAACCAGCCAAGUAGCGUGAAGGAUGUCUGCCCUAUGGGUUGUAAACUUCUUUUACAAAGGAAUAAAGUCGGGUAUGCAUACCCGUUUGCAUGUACUUUAUGAAUAAGGAUCGGCUAACUCCGUGCCAGCAGCCGCGGUAAUACGGAG
RNAcentral lists this ribosomal RNA (532 nucleotides) under uncultured bacterium. RNAcentral's name for it is "bacterial SSU rRNA". It matches the Rfam family "Bacterial small subunit ribosomal RNA", at positions 9 to 530 of the family's 1533-position model. The record is from RNAcentral.